GGAAUCAAUUCAACAAGAAGAGCUAACUAUCUUAAAUAUGUAUGCACCCAAUACAGGAGCACCCAGAUUCAUAAAACAAGUUCUUAGAGACCUACAAAGAGACUCAGGCUUCCACAGAACAAUAGUGGGAGACAUUAACACCCAUUGUCAAUAUUGGAUCAUCUAGACAGAAAAUUAACAAGAAAGGACUUGAACACAGCUCUGGGUCAAGUGAAUCUCAUAGAUAGCUACAGAACUCUCCAACACAAAACAACAGACUAUAUGUUAUUCUCAGUGACAUAUGACACUCUAAAAUUGAUCACAAAAUUAGAAUUAAAACACUCCUCAGCAAAUGCAAAAUAACUGAAAUCAUAACAAUCUUUCAGACCACAGUGCAAUGAAAUUAGAACUCAAGAUUAAGAAACUCACUCAAAACCACACAACUACAUGGAAAUUGAACAACCUGCUCCUGAGUGACUUCUGGGUAAAUAAUAAAAUUAAGGCAGAAAUCAAGAAGUUCUUUGAAACCAAUGAGAACAAAGAGACAAUGUACCAGAAUCUCUGGGAGGCAACUAAAGCAGUGUUAAGAGUUUCUCCACAGACACUACCCAAAGCAGUCCUUCACUACAGUGGCAGACAGACCUGAAAAUUUUCAUCUGAAGCAGCAGAGUGAACUGCAGAGUCAGGUCACCAACCAGUGUGGAGGCUAACAGCAGGCCUCUUUGGGGAUUCCAGGUGGAAGUGUUGGACAUCUGUAGUAUUCCUGGUCUCGAAUCAUCCUGAUAUUCUUCAUUUUGUUAUUCACAUUGGACUAGG
RNAcentral lists this long non-coding RNA (795 nucleotides) under Pongo abelii (Sumatran orangutan). RNAcentral's name for it is "lincRNA". Lineage: Eukaryota; Metazoa; Chordata; Mammalia; Primates; Hominidae. The record is from RNAcentral.